AGUCGUAACAAGGUUUCCGUAGGUGAACCUGCGGAAGGAUCAUUAGUGAAUAUAGGACGUCCAACUUAACUUGGAGUCCGAACUCUCACUUUCUAACCCUGUGCACUUGUUUGGGAUAGUAACUCUCGCAAGAGAGCGAACUCCUAUUCACUUAUAAACACAAAGUCUAUGAAUGUAUUAAAUUUUAUAACAAAAUAAAACUUUCAACAACGGAUCUCUUGGCUCUCGCAUCGAUGAAGAACGCAGCGAAAUGCGAUAAGUAAUGUGAAUUGCAGAAUUCAGUGAAUCAUCGAAUCUUUGAACGCACCUUGCGCUCCAUGGUAUUCCGUGGAGCAUGCCUGUUUGAGUGUCAUGAAUACUUCAACCCUCCUCUUUCUUAAUGAUUGAAGAGGUGUUUGGUUUCUGAGCGCUGCUGGCCUUUACGGUCUAGCUCGUUCGUAAUGCAUUAGCAUCCGCAAUCGAACUUCGGAUUGACUUGGCGUAAUAGACUAUUCGCUGAGGAAUUCUAGUCUUCGGAUUAGAGCCGGGUUGGGUUAAAGGAAGCUUCUAAUCAGAAUGUCUACAUUUUAAGAUUAGAUCUCAAAUCAGGUAGGACUACCCGCUGAACUUAAGCAUAUCAAUAUAAAAGUCG
RNAcentral lists this ribosomal RNA (631 nucleotides) under uncultured fungus. RNAcentral's name for it is "eukaryotic LSU rRNA". The stretch from base 199 to 352 matches the Rfam family "5.8S ribosomal RNA". Lineage: Eukaryota; Fungi. The record is from RNAcentral.